This 446-nucleotide ribosomal RNA is filed under the name uncultured bacterium. RNAcentral's name for it is "partial 16S ribosomal RNA". It matches the Rfam family "Bacterial small subunit ribosomal RNA", at positions 338 to 795 of the family's 1533-position model. The record is from RNAcentral.
CCUACGGGUGGCAGCAGUCGAGAAUCAUUCACAAUGGGGGAAACCCUGAUGGUGCGACGCCGCGUGGGGGAAUGAAGGUCUUCGGAUUGUAAACCCCUGUCAUGUCGGAGCAAAUUAAAAAGAUAGUACCACAAGAGGAAGAGACGGCUAACUCUGUGCCAGCAGCCGCGGUAAUACAGAGGUCUCAAGCGGUGUUCGGAAUCACGGGGCGUAAAGCGUGCGCAGGCUGUUUCGUAAGUCGUGUGUGAAAGGCCCGGGCUCAACCCGCGGACGGCACAUGAUACUGGGAGACUAGAGUAAUGGAGGGGGGACCGGAAUUCUCGGUGUAGCAGUGAAAUGCGUAGAUAUCGGGAGGAACACUCGUGGCGAAGGCAGGUUCCUGGACAUUAACUGACGCUGAGGCACGAAGGCCAGGGGAGCGAAAGGGAUUAGAUACCCCUGUAGUC